Bombina bombina (fire-bellied toad) is the source of this 1041-nucleotide long non-coding RNA. RefSeq lists it as uncharacterized. The transcript has 2 exons. NCBI's taxonomy places the organism in Eukaryota, Metazoa, Chordata, Amphibia, Anura, Bombinatoridae. The record is from RefSeq and is a predicted model, not a curated record.
UUUGCCGCCAUUUAACAAUUGUUUUAAAAGCAAUUCUAAAACAUCUUUCUACAUUUAUUUAUGUUCCUAGGAAUGUGCAUGAAUGGCAUACAGUGAAGUCCAACUUUUACCAAGUAGCCGGUAUGCCCAAUGUUCUUGGUGCUAUAGAUUGCACCCAUAUUGCUCUUAGACCACCAUCCCUAAGGGAGGAGCAAUAUAGGAACAGGAAAAGCUUUCAUUCCCUAAACAUACAGGCUGUGUGUGAUGCAAACCUUAGAAUUUGGGCUGUUCGAUCUGGGUUUCCUGGAUCAUGUCAUGAUUUCCACAUCCUAAAACAAUCUGCACUAUUUUCUGCUUUUGAACAGGGCAACAUGCCACACGGUUGGCUAUUAGGUAAAUAUGAACUUAUUUCCAUAUAAUCUAAUUAUAAUGCAAUCAGUUCUCUGUAUUUUUUGUAAGUUUUUUUCUGAUUUGCACUUUAUACAUGUCAUUAAUAUAUAUAAGAAUUAUGAUUAAUUGUAAUGUUUAAAUUAUUUAUAAUCUCUAAUCAAUUUUUCUUUUGAAAAAAUAGGUGAUAGUGGUUAUCCGUGCCGAACUUGGCUGUUGACACCUGUCCCAAUGCCACAUACCAGAGGAGAAAUUAAAUUUAAUGAAUCCCACCGUAGCACAAGAAGUGCUAUCGAAAGAACUUUUGGGGUUUUAAAAAUGCGUUUCAGAGUUUUGGAUAGGUCUGGAGGAGCACUUCAAUAUUCGCCUGAAAAAUGUAAUGAUAUAAUUCUAGUUGCAUGCAUGUUGCACAACAUUGCAAUUUCCCAAGGCAAUUUAGAGGAGGAGUGUCCCAAUGAUCCCACAGAUGACACUUAUAUCCCUCAAGAAAUUAUAGGCAGACACACUACAAGGGCAGGUGUACAAAAUAGAUUGGAAAUUAUUGAAAGAUAUUUUUCAUAAUACAUGUCAUCACCCCGAGUUUUAAUUAUUUUAUAAGAAAUGUACACAAUUCUUUGAUAUUGAAGUUAACUCCACCCAUUUGAAAAAAUAAAACUUUUGCUUAUUUAUCAAAAA